UCGAGAAUCUUCCGCAAUGGACGAAAGUCUGACGGAGCGACGCCGCGUGCGGGAUGAAGGCCUUCGGGUUGUAAACCGCUGUCAUAGGGGAGGAAAUUUUGACCGAUCCUAAGAGGAAGCACAGGCUAAGUUCGUGCCAGCAGCCGCGGUAAUACGAACUGUGCGAACGUUAUUCGGAAUCACUGGGCUUAAAGGGUGCGUAGGCGGCUACAAAGGUCAGAUGUGAAAUCCCACGGCUCAACCGUGGAACUGCGUUUGAAACCGUGUAGCUUGAGGGAGUCAGAGGUAAGCGGAACUGAUGGUGGAGCGGUGAAAUGCGUUGAUAUCAUCAGGAACACCGGUGGCGAAAGCGGCUUACUGGGACUUUUCUGACGCUGAGGCACGAAAGCUAGGGGAGCGAACGGG
RNAcentral lists this ribosomal RNA (405 nucleotides) under uncultured bacterium. Its description in RNAcentral is "bacterial SSU rRNA". It matches the Rfam family "Bacterial small subunit ribosomal RNA", at positions 355 to 776 of the family's 1533-position model. The record is from RNAcentral.